UAGCCAAUGUAGUGCUUCAGGGAAAGUGU
This 29-nucleotide non-coding RNA is filed under the name Mus musculus (house mouse). The record is from RNAcentral. Lineage: Eukaryota; Metazoa; Chordata; Mammalia; Rodentia; Muridae.